UACGGAGGGGGCGAGCGUUGUUCGGAAUUACUGGGCGUAAAGCGCACGUAGGCGGCUUUGUAAGUUAGAGGUGAAAGCCCAGGGCUUAACCCUGGAAUUGCCUUUAAGACUGCAUCGCUAGAAUUGUGGAGAGGUAAGUGGAAUUCCGAGUGUAGAGGUGAAAUUCGUAGAUAUUCGGAAGAACACCAGUGGCGAAGGCGACUUACUGGACACAUAUUGACGCUGAGGUGCGAAAGCGUGGGGAGCAAACAGG
RNAcentral lists this ribosomal RNA (253 nucleotides) under uncultured bacterium. RNAcentral describes it as "partial 16S ribosomal RNA". It matches the Rfam family "Bacterial small subunit ribosomal RNA", at positions 524 to 776 of the family's 1533-position model. The record is from RNAcentral.